GUGGGGAAUAUUGGACAAUGGGCGAAAGCCUGAUCCAGCCAUGCCGCGUGUGUGAAGAAGGUCUUCGGAUUGUAAAGCACUUUAAGUUGGGAGGAAGGGCAGUAAGUUAAUACCUUGCUGUUUUGACGUUACCGACAGAAUAAGCACCGGCUAACUUCGUGCCAGCAGCCGCGGUAAUACGAAGGGUGCAAGCGUUAAUCGGAAUUACUGGGCGUAAAGCGCGCGUAGGUGGUUUUGUAAGUUGGAGGUGAAAUCCCCGGGCUCAACCUGGGAACUGCCUACAAAACUGCAUGACUAGAGUACGGUAGAGGGUAGUGGAAUUUCCUGUGUAGCGGUGAAAUGCGUAGAUAUAGGGAGGAACACCAGUGGCGAAGGCGACUACCUGGACUGAUACUGACACUGAGGUGCGAAAGCGUGGGGAGCAAACAGGAUUAGAAACCCCAGUAGUCC
RNAcentral lists this ribosomal RNA (450 nucleotides) under uncultured bacterium. Its description in RNAcentral is "partial 16S ribosomal RNA". It matches the Rfam family "Bacterial small subunit ribosomal RNA", at positions 354 to 796 of the family's 1533-position model. The record is from RNAcentral.